CAGUCGCCGCGGGAAUACGUAGGUGGCAAGCGUUGUCCGGAAUUAUUGGGCGUAAAGCGCGCGCAGGUGGUUUAAUAAGUCUGAUGUGAAAGCCCACGGCUCAACCGUGGAGGGUCAUUGGAAACUGUUAAACUUGAGUGCAGGAGAGAAAAGUGGAAUUCCUAGUGUAGCGGUGAAAUGCGUAGAGAUUAGGAGGAACACCAGUGGCGAAGGCGGCUUUUUGGCCUGUAACUGACACUGAGGCGCGAAAGCGUGGGGAGCAAACAGGAUUAGAUACCCGUGUAGUCCCUGUCUCUUAUAC
RNAcentral lists this ribosomal RNA (301 nucleotides) under uncultured bacterium. Its description in RNAcentral is "partial 16S ribosomal RNA". It matches the Rfam family "Bacterial small subunit ribosomal RNA", at positions 509 to 807 of the family's 1533-position model. The record is from RNAcentral.